GGGUUGUGAGGUUAAGCGACUAAGCGUACACGGUGGAUGCCCUGGCAGUCAGAGGCGAUGAAGGACGUGCUAAUCUGCGAUAAGCGUCGGUAAGGUGAUAUGAACCGUUAUAACCGGCGAUUUCCGAAUGGGGAAACCCAGUGUGUUUCGACACACUAUCAUUAACUGAAUCCAUAGGUUAAUGAGGCGAACCGGGGGAACUGAAACAUCUAAGUACCCCGAGGAAAAGAAAUCAACCGAGAUUCCCCCAGUAGCGGCGAGCGAACGGGGAGCAGCCCAGAGCCUGAAUCAGUGUGUGUGUUAGUGGAAGCGUCUGGAAAGGCGCGCGAUACAGGGUGACAGCCCCGUACACAAAAAUGCACAUGCUGUGAGCUCGAUGAGUAGGGCGGGACACGUGGUAUCCUGUCUGAAUAUGGGGGGACCAUCCUCCAAGGCUAAAUACUCCUGACUGACCGAUAGUGAACCAGUACCGUGAGGGAAAGGCGAAAAGAACCCCGGCGAGGGGAGUGAAAAAGAACCUGAAACCGUGUACGUACAAGCAGUGGGAGCACGCUUAGGCGUGUGACUGCGUACCUUUUGUAUAAUGGGUCAGCGACUUAUAUUCUGUAGCAAGGUUAACCGAAUAGGGGAGCCGAAGGGAAACCGAGUCUUAACUGGGCGUUAAGUUGCAGGGUAUAGACCCGAAACCCGGUGAUCUAGCCAUGGGCAGGUUGAAGGUUGGGUAACACUAACUGGAGGACCGAACCGACUAAUGUUGAAAAAUUAGCGGAUGACUUGUGGCUGGGGGUGAAAGGCCAAUCAAACCGGGAGAUAGCUGGUUCUCCCCGAAAGCUAUUUAGGUAGCGCCUCGUGAAUUCAUCUCCGGGGGUAGAGCACUGUUUCGGCAAGGGGGUCAUCCCGACUUACCAACCCGAUGCAAACUGCGAAUACCGGAGAAUGUUAUCACGGGAGACACACGGCGGGUGCUAACGUCCGUCGUGAAGAGGGAAACAACCCAGACCGCCAGCUAAGGUCCCAAAGUCAUGGUUAAGUGGGAAACGAUGUGGGAAGGCCCAGACAGCCAGGAUGUUGGCUUAGAAGCAGCCAUCAUUUAAAGAAAGCGUAAUAGCUCACUGGUCGAGUCGGCCUGCGCGGAAGAUGUAACGGGGCUAAACCAUGCACCGAAGCUGCGGCAGCGACGCUGAUGCGUUGUUGGGUAGGGGAGCGUUCUGUAAGCCUGUGAAGGUGUACUGUGAGGUAUGCUGGAGGUAUCAGAAGUGCGAAUGCUGACAUAAGUAACGAUAAAGCGGGUGAAAAGCCCGCUCGCCGGAAGACCAAGGGUUCCUGUCCAACGUUAAUCGGGGCAGGGUGAGUCGACCCCUAAGGCGAGGCCGAAAGGCGUAGUCGAUGGGAAACAGGUUAAUAUUCCUGUACUUGGUGUUACUGCGAAGGGGGGACGGAGAAGGCUAUGUUGGCCGGGCGACGGUUGUCCCGGUUUAAGCGUGUAGGCUGGUUUUCCAGGCAAAUCCGGAAAAUCAAGGCUGAGGCGUGAUGACGAGGCACUACGGUGCUGAAGCAACAAAUGCCCUGCUUCCAGGAAAAGCCUCUAAGCAUCAGGUAACAUCAAAUCGUACCCCAAACCGACACAGGUGGUCAGGUAGAGAAUACCAAGGCGCUUGAGAGAACUCGGGUGAAGGAACUAGGCAAAAUGGUGCCGUAACUUCGGGAGAAGGCACGCUGAUAUGUAGGUGAAGUCCCUCGCGGAUGGAGCUGAAAUCAGUCGAAGAUACCAGCUGGCUGCAACUGUUUAUUAAAAACACAGCACUGUGCAAACACGAAAGUGGACGUAUACGGUGUGACGCCUGCCCGGUGCCGGAAGGUUAAUUGAUGGGGUCAGCGCAAGCGAAGCUCUUGAUCGAAGCCCCGGUAAACGGCGGCCGUAACUAUAACGGUCCUAAGGUAGCGAAAUUCCUUGUCGGGUAAGUUCCGACCUGCACGAAUGGCGUAAUGAUGGCCAGGCUGUCUCCACCCGAGACUCAGUGAAAUUGAACUCGCUGUGAAGAUGCAGUGUACCCGCGGCAAGACGGAAAGACCCCGUGAACCUUUACUAUAGCUUGACACUGAACAUUGAGCCUUGAUGUGUAGGAUAGGUGGGAGGCUUUGAAGUGUGGACGCCAGUCUGCAUGGAGCCGGCCUUGAAAUACCACCCUUUAAUGUUUGAUGUUCUAACGUUGACCCGUGAUCCGGGUUGCGGACAGUGUCUGGUGGGUAGUUUGACUGGGGCGGUCUCCUCCUAAAGAGUAACGGAGGAGCACGAAGGUUGGCUAAUCCUGGUCGGACAUCAGGAGGUUAGUGCAAUGGCAUAAGCCAGCUUGACUGCGAGCGUGACGGCGCGAGCAGGUGCGAAAGCAGGUCAUAGUGAUCCGGUGGUUCUGAAUGGAAGGGCCAUCGCUCAACGGAUAAAAGGUACUCCGGGGAUAACAGGCUGAUACCGCCCAAGAGUUCAUAUCGACGGCGGUGUUUGGCACCUCGAUGUCGGCUCAUCACAUCCUGGGGCUGAAGUAGGUCCCAAGGGUAUGGCUGUUCGCCAUUUAAAGUGGUACGCGAGCUGGGUUUAGAACGUCGUGAGACAGUUCGGUCCCUAUCUGCCGUGGGCGCUGGAGAACUGAGGGGGGCUGCUCCUAGUACGAGAGGACCGGAGUGGACGCAUCACUGGUGUUCGGGUUGUCAUGCCAAUGGCACUGCCCGGUAGCUAAAUGCGGAAGAGAUAAGUGCUGAAAGCAUCUAAGCACGAAACUUGCCCCGAGAUGAGUUCUCCCUGACUCCUUGAGAGUCCUGAAGGAACGUUGAAGACGACGACGUUGAUAGGCCGGGUGUGUAAGCGCAGCGAUGCGUUGAGCUAACCGGUACUAAUGAACCGUGAGGCUUAACCUUACAACGCCGAAGCUGUU
This 2930-nucleotide ribosomal RNA is filed under the name Escherichia coli. RNAcentral's name for it is "23S ribosomal RNA". It matches the Rfam family "Bacterial large subunit ribosomal RNA". Lineage: Bacteria; Pseudomonadati; Pseudomonadota; Gammaproteobacteria; Enterobacterales; Enterobacteriaceae. The record is from RNAcentral.